UCCAAUUAAAAUUUGACACGAUAGAAUUUUUACGGUAGAUUGAUGGCAUGUGGGUUUCUCUUCUUUUUUUUCUUCCCGUGCAAAAUUCCUGGUGAUCACGUCACGUGGGUCUUCGUUCAGAUGGUCAAAGCGGUGGUGGGACCCAACACGGAACAGAUAGGAGUCUGGAAUCGAGGAUCGUGUCCAUCGGUGCCUUGGUGGUACUCUCUCGACUCUUCCCCAGAUCAUCUCUCGCUCUCCCAUUGAUUUCCUCCCUACCCUACCCAAUCUUCAGCUCCACCUCCACCUCCCUCCUCUGGAAGUUUCUCCCGCCGUACCCAAUCUUGGCGGCAGGAUGACAUAGGGUUUCACAAGCCCGUCCGCCGCCACGACCAUGGGCUGAUGCUCCAUGAAGGUGUACCUGGAGGAGCGGCGUCGGGGACCUCAGCAGGCGUCGGUGGGAGCCAGGCCGAGGGAGGCGGCGUUGGCUGGAGGAGCCCGUCAAGUGCCUGGCUGUGUCGCUGGGAGUCCCCGCCGCUGACAGCCCGCGUCUGCUGACCGCUCCUUCCUUCCAUCUGUUUUCUCUCUCCGGUCUCCUCUCUCUCACCCAAAAACAGGUGCAGCGGCGGCGGAGACGGCCUCCACAACAGCGAGGAUGGAGACGAUGUGACACCAUAGGAUCAAGUGGCUCUAGAGAAGAUGGAGGAGGAGCAGAUGGAUGCUGCAUAUUCUCAGCAUGCCUCUGGUGAUUUUAUAUACUCACAUGGUGUUCCUCAGACCAUAUGUGAUUACUGAUACAUUUCCACCGCGGCUGUAUAAGUAAAGAAAAUUUCGAUCAGCAUGAUGAAUUAAUUGAAUUGUCACCGAAUGGAGUCUUGUGGUUCUUCAAAAUCAACCAGGUCUAUUCUUGCAGUCAACAAAAUAGUUCCUCUUAGAUUGUUGUCUGUCAUUGUAGGUUGUUUGUAAGUUUCAUGCAUUGCCACCUCCUUUGGUUGCCUGCCUUUUCUUUUAAAAUAAAUCUGUGUGAUCAUUAAGUUUAUAAUUAUAAUUACUGCUGAAAUUAUAUAAUUUCAGUAUAUCUACCUGGUAUAGUUAGCUAAUGUCUUCCUUCAAAGUAAGUUAAACACAUCGUGUUCUGAGUUCUGCUAAUUGGUACUGAUAGUGGGAUAUAUGGAUGGAUAUGGAUAUGCAAAAAAUGUGUCACUAUCUCCUCCCUGUAUGCAUAUAAGAAAACAAGAUAGGCAGCAAUGGGACGUGAAAAAACAAGAGAGGCAGCGAUGGGGCAUGCACGGGAUGUGAAUUACAAGAGGUUUAUUGUGACUUCGAUGCCUCUUACUGAAUUUGGUAGGGUCAUUCACAGGCUUAAAAUCUGAUUGCCAUUGUUCCUGCCUUCCUGGGGUAUGAUUAGGCUAUUUUGCUGAUAACAUAUCCGGAUGAUAAGACUGUUUCGCUAACCAUAUACAAUCCUUUAACUGGGGUAAUGUUUGAAGAGGUAUUUACAAGCUCUUUUCUAUUUUUCCAAUUGAAAAUAUCAGUGCAAUUUAAUUUAGUGGAUUUCGCCGUUUGGUAUUGUAAAUAUGACUGUAGCAUCGUUUUCUCCAACAGUGUGAGUGUCAUGCCCAUGGCACAUUUCAUCAAAUUUGAAGAACAUCGGGUAAUAUUUGAAGAAAUAUGAUAAAAAGCUCUGUAUUUUUCCAACUUGCUUAUUCACCUCAGAUCCUAACUUAUUCAACAUUGAAGAAGAUAGGAGCUAAGCCAUCCAUCUAUUGAGAUUUAUUUGGAUGUGCGGAAAACCUUCUGUUAUAAUGUUUGUGUGAACAAAGAUAAGCCUUUCGUUAUGUCAAGCUUGGGAAUAUUUUUCUCAGGUUCUGUUUUAGCCAAUUUUAGCAAGUCAUUUCAUUGGCCCUAAUUUUUGAUCUAAGCUAAUCUUUCAAUCAACUUUAACAAGUACAUCAAAGCAGCAUGCCAUCGGCGAGUAAGAACAUGACAAGACUCGACUGGCUAGAUCCAGUUAAAUGUAAUAUGAGCCCACCCUCUUUUUUACUCUAAUUCAAUCCAAAAAUCCCCUUUCUGGAAAUAAUAUAUGUGGGCUGCUGGGGCCUCUCUUUUGUACAAAUAGUCUCUAGGUAAUGGGGAAAAUAUAAAUUGGUAGAGUGGGGACUACGGGACUAUAUACUCCCUCUGAACUCAAUUUUGGAAUUUGUUUUCAGGAUGGCACACUUUGGUGGCUCCCAGAUUUCCUUCAAAGCAUUAAGUUGAUGAAACCAGUUCUGUUUCGUCAGCAGCCUCUCUCUCUCUCUCUCUCUCUCUCUCUCUCUCUCUCUCUGGGUCGGUUGUUUGACCAGUGCUGUCUUCUUAUGAUUCUCCCUGAACACAUGUUUGUUGUGUUACGAGUUCGAGAGUGUGAAUCGUCUAUUUUCUGAAGGUGAUAUUUCUAAGACUGUGGUCUAUUUUUUCUGACACUUUAGAGUGUGACCUGAGAAACUAUCCAAGAUAUUAUAUUUGCUCUAAACAGGGAUGAACUGAAAUGCACUAUUAUCAAUAUAUGUCCUUCUGCAGUUCUGUGGUCUAUUUGGAAGCUGCCUAACAAUCUCCGUUUUCAGGGAAAACAAUGAAGAAGUUUGACCUGCAUUUGGGAUGCAGCGAUCUGUUACGUACACUUCGGUGCCUCCCAGAUAUCCUUCCAUGUAUUGUACUUAGCAUGAAAGAAAAUUCAAUUGACAUAUUGCCUCCUAUCGCCAAGAAUUGCACGGCAUUCUCAUCUAUGGGAGGUUUAAAGAACACUCAUUCGUAUUUGGCUACAUACAUUGCCAUUUCUUUUGUGGUUAGACGAUCAGACAAUUACAGGAUUAUGGGCAGCGAUAUCUGGAUGAGAUUUCUGGCAACUAUGGUCAGCUACUCACUUAUGGGCACUGCUAUAUGGCUGACUUGGAGCAUGUUUGUGAGUUUACCCCUUCUAAUGUAGGUGCUCAAUUUUGGAUGUAUCGGUACAAGGAGACAUAGCUCCAGCUCCUGAACAUUUUACUCUAAAAGACUUAAGCUUUCAUCGCUGCUAUACAUGGUAGCAGUGAACUGUACAUAGUAUGGCAGUGUCUAUUGCCACUAGAACCGAUGUUGUAUACCAGUUUAAUCUUUUCUCUCUGUUCAACCUGCAUCCUGUUUCUGUCAAUUGUAGUAUCACUCGCUGUAUAUAUGUUAAAUGAUAAAGUUUGGCUAGCACCACAUUUAGUAUAUGAUUCCUCUUA
This is a long non-coding RNA of Lolium rigidum, 3224 nucleotides long. RefSeq lists it as uncharacterized. Lineage: Eukaryota; Viridiplantae; Streptophyta; Magnoliopsida; Poales; Poaceae. The record is from RefSeq and is a predicted model, not a curated record. The transcript has 2 exons.